RNAcentral lists this ribosomal RNA (161 nucleotides) under uncultured bacterium. RNAcentral describes it as "partial 16S ribosomal RNA". It matches the Rfam family "Bacterial small subunit ribosomal RNA", at positions 1338 to 1500 of the family's 1533-position model. The record is from RNAcentral.
GUAAUCGCGGAUCAGCAUGCCGCGGUGAAUACGUUCUCGGGCCUUGUACACACCGCCCGUCACACCAUGGGAGUCGGUAACACCCGAAGUCUGUAGCCUGACGCAAGAGGGCGCAGCCGAAGGUGGGAUUGAUGACUGGGGUGAAGUCGUAACAAGGUAUC